Molecule: ribosomal RNA, 399 nt
Filed under: uncultured bacterium
Lineage: Bacteria
Description: bacterial SSU rRNA
Rfam family: Bacterial small subunit ribosomal RNA
Source: RNAcentral
AACGAACGCUGGCGGCGCGCCUAAUACAUGCAAGUCGAGCGAGAAGACGUAGCAAUACGUUUGUAAAGCGGCGAACGGGUGAGGAAUACAUGGGUAACCUACCCUCGAGUGGGGAAUAACUAGCCGAAAGGUUAGCUAAUACCGCGUACGCUCCUUGGACUUCGGUUCAGGGAGGAAAGCGAUACCGUGGGUAUCGCGCUCUUGGAUGGGCUCAUGUCCUAUCAGCUUGUUGGUGAGGAACGGCUCACCAAGGCUUCGACGGGUAGCUGGUCUGAGAGGACGAUCAGCCACACUGGCACUGCGACACGGGCCAGACUCCUACGGGAGCAGCAGUAAGGAAUAUUGCGCAAUGGGCGAAAGCCUGACGCAGCGACGCCGCGUGGGGGAUGAAGGUCUCGG